UACGGAGGAUCCGAGCGUUAUCCGGAUUUAUUGGGUUUAAAGGGUGCGCAGGCGGAAGAUUAAGUCGGUGGUGAAAUUUUGCAGCUCAACUGUAAAAGUGCCAUUGAUACUGGUUUUCUUGAGUGUGGAUGAAGUAGGCGGAAUUUGUGGUGUAGCGGUGAAAUGCAUAGAUAUCACGAGGAACUCCGAUUGCGCAGGCAGCUUACUAAACUACUACUGACGCUCAGGCACGAAGGCGUGGGGAUCAAACAGGAUUAGAUACCCG
RNAcentral lists this ribosomal RNA (265 nucleotides) under uncultured prokaryote. RNAcentral's name for it is "partial 16S ribosomal RNA". It matches the Rfam family "Bacterial small subunit ribosomal RNA", at positions 524 to 788 of the family's 1533-position model. The record is from RNAcentral.